Molecule: ribosomal RNA, 482 nt
Filed under: uncultured bacterium
Lineage: Bacteria
Description: bacterial SSU rRNA
Rfam family: Bacterial small subunit ribosomal RNA
Source: RNAcentral
GAUGAACGCUAGCUACAGGCUUAACACAUGCAAGUCGAGGGGUAGCAGGGUAGCAAUACCGCUGACGACCGGCGCACGGGUGAGUAACACGUAUCCAACCUUCCCAUCACUCGGGGAUAGCCUUUCGAAAGAAAGAUUAAUACCCGAUAGUACUUUUUUGAGGCAUCUUAAGAAAGUUAAAGAUUUAUUGGUGAUGGAUGGGGAUGCGUUCCAUUAGAUUGUUGGUGAGGUAACGGCUCACCAAGUCUUCGAUGGAUAGGGGUUCUGAGAGGAAGGUCCCCCACAUUGGUACUGAGACACGGACCAAACUCCUACGGGAGGCAGCAGUGAGGAAUAUUGGUCAAUGGGCGAGAGCCUGAACCAGCCAAGUAGCGUGAAGGAUGAAGGUCCUAUGGAUUGUAAACUUCUUUUAUAGUAGAAUAAAGUGAUCCACGUGUGGAUUUUUGUAUGUAUACUAUGAAUAAGGAUCGGCUAACUCCGUG